This 497-nucleotide ribosomal RNA is filed under the name uncultured bacterium. Its description in RNAcentral is "partial 16S ribosomal RNA". It matches the Rfam family "Bacterial small subunit ribosomal RNA", at positions 28 to 507 of the family's 1533-position model. The record is from RNAcentral.
GAUGAACGCUGGCGGCGUGCCUAAUACAUGCAAGUCGAGCGAACAGACGAGGAGCUUUCUCCUCUUAAGUUUGCGGCGGACGGGUGAGUAACACGUGGAUAACCUACCUAUAAGACUGGGAUAAAUUCGGGAAACCGGAGCUAAUACCGGAUAAUAUAUUGAACCGCAUGGUUCAAUAAUGAAAGACGGUUUUGCUGUCACUUAUAGAUGGAUCCGCGCCGCAUUAGCUAGUUGGUAAGGUAACGGCUUACCAAGGCGACGAUGCGUAGCCGACCUGAGAGGGUGAUCGGCCACACUGGAACUGAGACACGGUCCAGACUCCUACGGGAGGCAGCAGUAGGGAAUCUUCCGCAAUGGGCGAAAGCCUGACGGAGCAACGCCGCGUGAGUGAUGAAGGUCUUCGGAUCGUAAAACUCUGUUAUUAGGGAAGAACAAAUGUGUAAGUAACUAUGCACGUCUUGACGGUACCUAAUCAGAAAGCCACGGCUAACUACGUG